Molecule: long non-coding RNA, 1449 nt
Filed under: Pogona vitticeps (central bearded dragon)
Lineage: Eukaryota; Metazoa; Chordata; Lepidosauria; Squamata; Agamidae
Description: lncRNA (ENSPVIG00000013362.1)
Source: RNAcentral
AUGAAAAUGUUGAAUAACAUGGGACCCAGAACCCGUUCUUGUCUUAUACCAAAUAACUGCCACCAAAACAAGCAAGAACCAUAUUUUAUAGGGCUGGACAACACAUAUAUAGGUUGGGGCGGGGAUACACACACAUCCUGUAACUACCCUCACCCUUUACUGAGUAUGCAAACUAUAUCCCAAAAGACUACACCAGUCCUUCCUUUAGCACAACUAUUUACUGUACACUCAUGUCAGAAUUUCAAGCCUCUACAGCUAAAUUAGUUUCACUUAAAAAAUGAUUUCUUUUAAAAGUAUUUUUAAAAAUACUUUUUUAAAAACCCCAUACUGAUCUCUUUUAAAAAGUACUUCUUAAAACUAUUCAAUGAUACAAAAAUCUAUACACAAACAAAUGUUAAAUGCUUAAUUUGCAUCUGACACAGUGGAUUGGGGUAGGAAGGAUUAUGUCAUAAUGUUUCUUUAAUAUGGUGCCAUAAGAUUUUUCAGUAUUUUUCCUGUCACAGAUGAACACUUCACCUCCCGUUCUGCAAAGCUAAAGCUCAGGGACAUUUGCCCCUAUAAUUUCUGCACAAACUGAUAGUAAAGUAUAUUUGCUAAUUACUAUUCAGAACUCUUUAAAUCUUUGUGGGGAAAAAAUCUCCUUAUCAGAGGGCUGAAGCCACAUGGAAAGACUGAAUUACUUAACUUGUUACUUUUCUUACACCAAAACCAACAUGUCCACUGAGGAGAAAUUCUGGAAUGUUCCUUAUUCUUGUUUGCAUGGAACACCUCCAAGUGAACAAGAAAACUACCUUCUUCAGUGUGAAGAAAGCAAUGGUCAUAGGUGGUCCUCUGUUGAAUACAACUGGGUACGUUACAUCUGAAUACGGCUAUUGCAUGACAUUGGUGACCUAUGACCAAACUCUUUUCAGAGCAUACCAAUACUUUUUGUGAUGUAGAAAACCUAAUUUUAAAUUUGCCUGAGACAGCGGGCCAAUUAUUCAUUACUGCCAAAUGUUAAAUUUUUGUGAAAUCUUGGGUGUAAUACAACUAUGUCUUUGGGAAAAUGACUCUGUGUAAUGUCAGCAUGAAGUAAAUCACAUAGUACUAUGAGCAGUCAGGCAAAUACAAGGAUGGAAAUAGCCAGUUCCUGUAUAGUUUCAAAUAUGGAUUUUAAGUGGAAAUAUUAAAAGUGUAUAUCUAGGAAUACAGGAAUGCUGAAAGUUUGUUUUUUCACCUCAGUAUGGCCAUUAGUAAGCUGUUAAAUGCGCUGGCUUUCUCAUGUGCCACAUCAAAAAGACAGUAGCACCAGGUGUUACUAUUUAGUGCACUAGUGUCUGUAUCUUAGUUGUUUCAGGUCUAGAACCUACAGUAACUGUGAAGUAAUUUUUUUAUGCCCAACACAAUUUCAGUAGCAUUUAUAUGGAAGCACAUGAACAAUAAAGAUGGCAGUUUUGUUUUAUGUAAACA